GUGGGGAAUAUUGCACAAUGGGCGCAAGCCUGAUGCAGCCAUGCCGCGUGUGUGAAGAAGGCCCUAGGGUUGUAAAGCACUUUCAGCGAGGAGGAAAGGUUAGUAUUUAAUAGAUACUAGCUGUGACGUUACUCGCAGAAGAAGCACCGGCUAACUUCGUGCCAGCAGCCGCGGUAAUACGAGGGGUGCAAGCGUUAAUCGGAAUUACUGGGCGUAAAGCGUACGCAGGCGGUUUGUUAAGCGAGAUGUGAAAGCCCCGGGCUCAACCUGGGAACUGCAUUUCGAACUGGCAGACUAGAGUAUGAUAGAGGGUGGUAGAAUUUCAGGUGUAGCGGUGAAAUGCGUAGAGAUCUGAAGGAAUACCGAUGGCGAAGGCAGCCACCUGGGUCAAUACUGACGCUCAUGUACGAAAGCGUGGGGAGCAAACGGG
RNAcentral lists this ribosomal RNA (430 nucleotides) under uncultured bacterium. RNAcentral's name for it is "bacterial SSU rRNA". It matches the Rfam family "Bacterial small subunit ribosomal RNA", at positions 354 to 776 of the family's 1533-position model. The record is from RNAcentral.